Molecule: long non-coding RNA, 100 nt
Organism: Amblyraja radiata (thorny skate)
Lineage: Eukaryota; Metazoa; Chordata; Chondrichthyes; Rajiformes; Rajidae
Exons: 3
Source: RefSeq, a predicted model, not a curated record
GAAACAACCCUGAUUGGACUGAUCCAGGAUGGGGAGGAAUCUGCCUACAGACAGGAAUUGUCACAGCUGGCUUCCUGGUGGCUUCAUAACAAUCAUGGAG